This 262-nucleotide unclassified non-coding RNA is filed under the name uncultured Lactarius. Its description in RNAcentral is "sequence contains ITS2". Lineage: Eukaryota; Fungi; Basidiomycota; Agaricomycetes; Russulales; Russulaceae. RNAcentral also lists the same sequence under 1 other name. The record is from RNAcentral.
AAACCUCAACCUCCAUGGUUUCUUCCGGGGACCAAAGGAGGCUUGGACUUUGGAGGUUUUUGCUGGUGUCUUUGAAGGCCAGCUCCUCUUAAAUGAAUUAGCGGGGUCCUCUUUGCCGAUCCUGGACAUGUGAUAAGAUGCUUCCGUGUCUUGGUUUCUGGCUCUGCUGCCUUUGGGACCCGCUUCCAAUCGUCUUGACCUUGCGUCGAGACCAUGUUCGAGCCCGUCUCCCUUCUUGGGAAACCCUCUCGACCCCACGCAC